UACACGACUCUCGGCAACGGAUAUCUCGGCUCUCGCAUCGAUGAAGAACGUAGCGAAAUGCGAUACCUGGUGUGAAUUGCAGAAUCCCGCGAACCAUCGAGUCUUUGAACGCAAGUUGCGCCCGAGGCCAUUCGGCCGAGGGCACGCCUGCCUGGGCGUCACGC
This 164-nucleotide ribosomal RNA is filed under the name Chascolytrum subaristatum. Its description in RNAcentral is "5.8S ribosomal RNA". It matches the Rfam family "5.8S ribosomal RNA". From Rfam's summary of the family: 5.8S ribosomal RNA (5.8S rRNA) is a component of the large subunit of the eukaryotic ribosome. The record is from RNAcentral. Lineage: Eukaryota; Viridiplantae; Streptophyta; Magnoliopsida; Poales; Poaceae.